This 333-nucleotide long non-coding RNA is filed under the name Elaeis guineensis (African oil palm). RNAcentral's name for it is "long non-coding RNA (EGUI_LNC042635)". The record is from RNAcentral. Lineage: Eukaryota; Viridiplantae; Streptophyta; Magnoliopsida; Arecales; Arecaceae.
AUGAACCUAAUCUAAUUAGAAAUCCAAUUAUCUCAAUAAAUUUCUAAUCCAAUUAGGAAUUGGCUAAUUUCAAACCCUAAUCGAAUCAGGAUCAAAUUUCUCUUGUAAUCAAGAUUGAUCAUGUCAAACCCAAUCUGAGUCGAAUUGAAUAUAAUUCAAUUAGGCUUGAUCCAAAGCUCUUUACUCAAUCAAAUGAAGUCAAUUAGUAAUCUAAUUAUAAAUUAAUUCUCUAUUUAUAAUAGAGUCCCAGUCCUAGUGGGACUCUACUCCAGAGUCCCAGUCUCAGUGGGACUCCUUACCAGAGUCAUAAUUCAAUUGGACUCUUCAGCCAUC